UCUCCUGGAAACGGGUGGUAAUGCCGGAUGCUCCGACUCCUCGCAUGGGGUGUCGGGAAAGAUUUCAUCGGUAUGGGAUGGGGUCGCGUCCUAUCAGGUAGUCGGCGGGGUAACGGCCCACCGAGCCUACGACGGGUAGCCGGCCUGAGAGGGCGACCGGCCACAUUGGGACUGAGAUACGGCCCAGACUCCUACGGGAGGCAGCAGUGGGGAAUAUUGCACAAUGGGCGCAAGCCUGAUGCAGCGACGCCGCGUGCGGGAUGACGGCCUUCGGGUUGUAAACCGCUUUUGAUCGGGAGCAAGCCUUCGGGUGAGUGUACCUUUCGAAUAAGCACCGGCUAACUACGUGCCAGCAGCCGCGGUAAUACGUAGGGUGCAAGCGUUAUCCGGAAUUAUUGGGCGUAAAGGGCUCGUAGGCGGUUCGUCGCGUCCGGUGUGAAAGUCCAUCGCUUAACGGUGGAUCUGCGCCGGGUACGGGCGGGCUGGAGUGCGGUAGGGGAGACUGGAAUUCCCGGUGUAACGGUGGAAUGUGUAGAUAUCGGGAAGAACACCAUA
RNAcentral lists this ribosomal RNA (555 nucleotides) under Bifidobacterium pseudocatenulatum. RNAcentral's name for it is "bacterial SSU rRNA". It matches the Rfam family "Bacterial small subunit ribosomal RNA", at positions 146 to 713 of the family's 1533-position model. Lineage: Bacteria; Bacillati; Actinomycetota; Actinomycetes; Bifidobacteriales; Bifidobacteriaceae. The record is from RNAcentral.